UGAGGAAUAUUGGUCAAUGGUCGCAAGACUGAACCAGCCGUGCCGCGUGCAGGAAGACGGUCCUAUGGAUUGUAAACUGCUUUUAUACAGGAAGAAACCCUCCCACGUGUGGGAGCUUGACGGUACUGUAGGAAUAAGGAUCGGCUAACUCCGUGCCAGCAGCCGCGGUAAUACGGAGGAUCCAAGCGUUAUCCGGAAUCAUUGGGUUUAAAAGGGUCCGUAGGCGGUCUUAUAAGUCAGUGGUGAAAGCCCAUCGCUCAACGAUGGAACUGCCAUUGAUACUGUAAGACUUGAAUGCUUAGGAAGUAACUAGAAUAUGUAGUGUAGCGGUGAAAUGCUUAGAUAUUACAUGGAAUACCAAUUGCGAAGGCAGGUUACUACUAAGUGAUUGACGCUGAUGGACGAAAGCGUGGGGAGCGAACAGGAUUAGAUACCCUGGUAGUCCACGCCGUAAACGAUGGAUACUAGCUGUUCGGCGCAAGUUGAGUGGCUAAGCGAAAGUGAUAAGUAUCCCACCUGGGGAGUACGCACGCAAGUGUGAAACUCAAAGGAAUUGACGGGGUCAUAGCUGUUUCCUG
This 578-nucleotide ribosomal RNA is filed under the name uncultured bacterium. RNAcentral describes it as "partial 16S ribosomal RNA". It matches the Rfam family "Bacterial small subunit ribosomal RNA", at positions 355 to 1376 of the family's 1533-position model. The record is from RNAcentral.